RNAcentral lists this long non-coding RNA (706 nucleotides) under Jatropha curcas. Its description in RNAcentral is "long non-coding RNA (JCUR_LNC002753)". The record is from RNAcentral. Lineage: Eukaryota; Viridiplantae; Streptophyta; Magnoliopsida; Malpighiales; Euphorbiaceae.
GGCCAUGACAUUUGGUAUCAGAGCCAAGCCUUGUCCCUCUGGCCGGUGGUGGGGCAAACCUCAGCGCGGACGCUGAGUCCCAAGGGGGGGGUGAGCGGUGGCUCAAUAAAGGGGUGCACUCACCUUAGGCGAAUCCCACAUCGGCUACGCACAAGGUUCACGAUCAGUACAUAAGAGGGGUGGUCUCAGAACAUGGUAGGCGCCUUUUGGGGGCAACUCCAAGGGGACAAAACCGUGAGGGUGACCUCGUACGGAAGGGCCCAAAGCGGACAAUACUUACCAUGGGCUGGGCCAUGACAUUUGGUAUCAGAGCCAAGCCUUGUCCCUCUGGCCGGUGGUGGGGCAAACCUCAGCGCGGACGCUGAGUCCCCAAGGGGGGUGAGCGGUGGCUCAAUAAAGGGGUGCACUCACCUUAGGCGAAUCCCACAUCGGCUACGCACAAGGUUCACGAUCAGUAAAACCGUGAGGGUGACCUCGUACGGAAGGGCCCAAAGCGGACAAUACUUACCAUGGGCUGGGCCAUGACAUUUGGUAUCAGAGCUAAGCCUUGUCCCUCUGGCCGGUGGUGGGGCAAACCUCAGCGCGGAUGCUGAGUCCCCAAGGGGGGGUGAGCGGUGGCUCAAUAAAGGGGUGCACUCACCUUAGGCGAAUCCCACAUCGGCUACGCACAAGGUUCACGAUCAGUACAUAAGAGGGGUGGUCUCAG